CCGUGUGCAAAACGCGCAACUUCCUCUGGACUCAAUGCUUAAAUGUCAGGAAAAUUGCAAAAAUGUCUGGUGAAAUCUUUGAUAUCAAUAACGAAGAUGUUUUAGAAAAGUUUUUGGAAAAAAAUGAACGGGGGAUAGUCUUUAUUGAUCUUGUUGAAACAGCAAAUUGUCACGUAGCCUCUCUCUCGGAUGAUGCACGGCAAAUCAUUCAAGUCACCAAUGCUGGAGGGAAUUCGGAGAUUUCGGAGGCGAUUUCUUAUGAGAUCUUUUAUAGAUAUAGAUGCGCUAAACUUGUAAUGUUCUUUGAAGAUAUCUGAGGCCGAUCGAAUUCUUCACUGACAGAGAAUGAGAUUGAAAACCAUCUGGACGGUGGACCACUCGUUGAUUACGUUUGUGAAAUUCAUAGCAAAGUAGUGGCAGUAUCAGUCACUCGUGCCAUGAAUAAAAAUGCAAAGGACUUACUUAAAAGGAAAUUGGACGGUAUUGCAGCUGCAACUGAAAAACAAAAACAAAAGCUUCACAAAUCUAAUGAAAAAUGGGAAAGGCUGAUUCUUCAUGUCUGGGUUCAAAAUGAAGAGAUAGCUAAAAUAGUAUCCGAAGAUGCUACCGAACUACUAAAAGAGCCUAGAUACGAAACAUUGGUGGUCAUCUCUAGGGGAUUACCCUUCAUCUUCAACAACGACAAAAAUAUGUUACAAUCUCCCAAACACAAAACGUCGGAGGGGGCAAGCUCUACAAGCGAAGCAAGAAAAACACGAAAACGCAAAGCGCAAGAACAGGAAACCCCCCAAAAACAAAGCCCAAAAAGACAAAAACAAAGCCCAAAAAGACCAAAAAAACAAAAAACAAAAAAAUAAAGAAGAAAAUCCUAACCCGAGAAAAGAUGCUCCGUGCCUUCCUCCCAUCAGAGGGCUUAGUCUGCAACAACAACUCUUUAUUCAGCUGUGAAAACCAACCUGUCAAGAACAAUAUAUAAUCUUUUAAAACUUAUUAUAGACAUAUAUCGGACAUAUCUCUUUUAUAUGCUCCAAAUUUUAUAUUUAGGCCUUUCA
This is an RNA transcript of Magallana angulata, 1052 nucleotides long. It is a transcript of the gene named AAC-rich mRNA clone AAC4 protein-like, with no coding region annotated. Lineage: Eukaryota; Metazoa; Mollusca; Bivalvia; Ostreida; Ostreidae. The transcript is spliced from 4 exons. The record is from RefSeq and is a predicted model, not a curated record.